GCUUAUCUUAGUGGCGGACGGGUGAGUAACGCGUGAGCAACCUGCCUUUCAGAGGGGGAUAACGUCUUGAAAAGGACGCUAAUACCGCAUGAUAUUAUGGAGCCACAUGGCUCUAUAAUCAAAGGAGCAAUCCGCUGAAAGAUGGGCUCGCGUCCGAUUAGGUAGUUGGCGGGAUAACAGCCCACCAAGCCGACGAUCGGUAGCCGGACUGAGAGGUUGAACGGCCACAUUGGGACUGAGACACGGCCCAGACUCCUACGGGAGGCAGCAGUGAGGGAUAUUGGUCAAUGGGGGAAACCCUGAACCAGCAACGCCGCGUGAGGGAUGACGGCCUUCGGGUUGUAAACCUCUGUCCUCUGUGAAGAUAAUGACGGUAGCAGAGGAGGAAGCUCCGGCUAACUACGUGCCAGCAGCCGCGGUAAUACGUAGGGAGCAAGCGUUGUCCGGAUUUACUGGGUGUAAAGGG
Molecule: ribosomal RNA, 466 nt
Filed under: uncultured Lachnospiraceae bacterium
Lineage: Bacteria; Bacillati; Bacillota; Clostridia; Lachnospirales; Lachnospiraceae
Description: bacterial SSU rRNA
Rfam family: Bacterial small subunit ribosomal RNA
Source: RNAcentral